CCAGAGAGUCUCCAAACCUAGCUCCAUUCAGUCCUUCCUCUCCGCCGCCACUCCUUUCUUUCCCUCGUUGUUCGCUCUCUUCUUCGUACAUCCGAGAGAAAAACAGCCAUGGUUCAUUUCCGUCCUCGACCACGUCCGCAAGUCACAGCCGGUCUCCGUAUCAUCCGUGCGCCAUUCGCGCCUCCACCUCGCUCACGACGCCGCAGAACGCCUCCGUCGCGGACGUCUUCGACGCCGCCUGGAUCUGGUCGCCGACGAGCUCACCUGAGCGGUGAAAUCGGACCACCGUCCCCUCUCCUCCAUCCUCGUCGUCUUCGCGGAGCCGGAGACACCGCAGCUGCUCGCCCUCGUCCACAUCUGCAAUGUCGUCUACCCCGGCCACUUUUCUUCUUCAACGCCAGCAGCUCCACCUGCCCCUCCUUCUCGUCACCGACCACCCCAGGCAUUUGCUUCUUCCCGGAUAGGAUCACGAAGUGGUGUUGUGAGAUACGACAAGUUCUUCUGCAGCUUUUCACAGGCGAGC
Lolium perenne is the source of this 523-nucleotide non-coding RNA. The record is from RefSeq and is a predicted model, not a curated record. Lineage: Eukaryota; Viridiplantae; Streptophyta; Magnoliopsida; Poales; Poaceae.